Molecule: transfer RNA, 69 nt
Filed under: Cicadellidae gen. sp. 1 JCX-2018
Lineage: Eukaryota; Metazoa; Arthropoda; Insecta; Hemiptera; Cicadellidae
Description: tRNA-Pro
Source: RNAcentral
CAAUAUUUAUUUUAUUUAAAAUUUAAGUUUUGGGAAUUUAAGAUGUAUUUAUAUUAUAUACAGUAUUGA